GAUGAACGCUGGCGGCGUGCUUAAUACAUGCAAGUCGAACGGAAAGGCCCUGCUUUUGUGGGGUGCUCGAGUGGCGAAGGGGUGAGUAACACGUGUGUAACAUGCCCUUGACUUUGGGAUAACUUUUGGAAACUGGGGAUCAUAUAGGGUAGGAGCUACUGAAGCAUGGUGGGGGUUAGAAAGUUUCGGCGGUGGGGGCAGUAAUAGCGGGUUAUCAGCUUGUUGGUGGGGUGGUGGCUUUCCAAGGCUUCGAAGGGAAGCCGGCCUGGGAGGGUGACCGGCUCCAUUGGGCCUGGGGUACGACCAGUACUCCAUCGGGCGGAAGCGGUGGGAAUAUUGCACAAUGGGCGGAAGCCUGAUGCAGCAACGCCGCGUGCGUGAUGACGGCCUUCGGGUUGUAAACCGCUUUCGCCUUUGACGAAGCGUGAGUGACGGUAAUGGGUAAAGAAGCACCGGCUAACUACGUG
RNAcentral lists this ribosomal RNA (467 nucleotides) under uncultured bacterium. RNAcentral's name for it is "partial 16S ribosomal RNA". It matches the Rfam family "Bacterial small subunit ribosomal RNA", at positions 28 to 507 of the family's 1533-position model. The record is from RNAcentral.